CUCCUAACCUUAGGCGCCGUGCCUUAUACAUGCAAGUCGAGCGAACAGAAUAAGGAGCUUGCUCCUUUGACGUUAGCGGCGGACGGGUGAGUAACACGUGGAUAACCUACCUAUAAGACUGGGAUAACUUCGGGAAACCGGAGCUAAUACCGGAUAAGAUUUUGAACCGCAUGGUUCAAUAGUGAAAGACGGCCUUGCUGUCACUUAUAGAUGGAUCCGCGCCGUAUUAGCUAGUUGGUUAGGUAACGGCUUACCAUUGCUACGAUACGUAGCGGACCUGAAAGGGA
RNAcentral lists this ribosomal RNA (287 nucleotides) under Staphylococcus sp. sanandaj 6. RNAcentral's name for it is "partial 16S ribosomal RNA". It matches the Rfam family "Bacterial small subunit ribosomal RNA", at positions 38 to 301 of the family's 1533-position model. The record is from RNAcentral. Lineage: Bacteria; Bacillati; Bacillota; Bacilli; Caryophanales; Staphylococcaceae.